RNAcentral lists this ribosomal RNA (679 nucleotides) under bacterium IMCC8649. RNAcentral describes it as "bacterial SSU rRNA". It matches the Rfam family "Bacterial small subunit ribosomal RNA", at positions 28 to 736 of the family's 1533-position model. The record is from RNAcentral.
AAGGAACGCUGGCAGCGUGCAUAACACAUGCAAGUCGAACGCGAAAGAAUCCUUCGGGAUUUGGACGAGUGGCGAACGGGUGAGGAACACGUAAGAAUCUACCUUUCGGUUGGGGAUAACUUCUGGAAACGGGAGCUAAUACCCAAUAUGCUGUGGAGUGAAAGAAUUUCGCCGAGAGACGAUCUUGCGUCUGAUUAGCUUGUUGGGGUGGUAAUGGCACACCAAGGCGACGAUCAGUAGCUGGUCUGAGAGGAUGGACAGCCACAUUGGGACUGAGACACGGCCCAGACUCCUACGGGAGGCAGCAGUGGGGAAUUUUCCGCAAUGGACGAAAGUCUGACGGAGCGACGCUGCGUGAAGGAUGAAGGCCCGUGGGUUGUAAACUUCUUUUCUCGAAGAAGAAAAAAAUGACGGUAUUCGAGGAAUAAGCAUCGGCUAACUCUGUGCCAGCACCCGCGGUAAGACAGAGGAUGCAAGUGUUAUUCGGAAUGAUUGGGCGUAAAGAGUCUGUAGGCGGUUUAGAAAGUCUUUUGUGAAAUACUUCAGCUCAACUGAGGCUCCGCAAAAGAAACUUCUAGACUUGAGGAAAGUAGAGGUACAGGGAAUUUCCGGUGGAGCGGUGAAAUGCGUAGAUAUCGGAAGGAACACCCCAUAUGGCGAAGGCACCUGUACUGGGCUU